CAAGUUUGUUAUAGAUAGUAAGCAGAUAAAGAAGAAAUGAACACAUAUAACUAUAAUAAUGUUUAGAAAAAAACAAGAAGAAAUGAACAAAAAUAUGACUAUAGAGACCUAUAACUAUAAUAACGUUUAGAAAGCUAAACAACAAGGAUUAGAACAUAGAUUUUUACAAUUGCAAAAACAACAACAAAGUUGUACCUUGGGGCAUCUGAAACAAGAUGACCAUCUGAUCUUGCAGUUGCAGCUGCAACAGGAGCUCUUCUUCUUCUUAUUCAGACAGGUGGGUAGGCAGCAAGAUAAGUCCGGACAAGAACAACAGCAACCUCGGAAGCAUGAACAGCUCGGGCAGCUCAGUUUCGGGCAACAACAGCUAUUUGAGCAGCAUGAUCCUUCACAGCAUUUGGAACCAGUGCAGCUGCAACUUGUACAGCACUUGGGCUUCCUCAGAUGGCACGAACAGUUGGAUCGGCAGCAACAGAAGAAACUCGCUAGGCUCAAACAUGGAAUACCGCAACUGCAACGAGUUAGUUGAUUAGUAUCAUAUCUUGUUAUUAAGAUAUAUAUUUUUCCGUCAAUCCAUUUAAGAUCAAGCAGUUAUCUCACGAGAGGCUCGCUUAAUAGAAAACAUCACUUACAAAAAGCAAAAAAAAAAAACAUAUCCACAAGUUUGUUAUAGAUAGUAAGCAGAUAAAGAAGAAAUGAACACAUAUAACUAUAAUAAUGUUUAGAAAAAAACAAGAAGAAAUGAACAAAAAUAUGACUAUAGAGACCUAUAACUAUAAUAACGUUUAGAAAGCUAAACAACAAGGAUUAGAACAUAGAUUUUUACAAUUGCAAAAACAACAACAAAGUUGUACCUUGGGGCAUCUGAAACAAGAUGACCAUCUGAUCUUGCAGUUGCAGCUGCAACAGGAGCUCUUCUUCUUCUUAUUCAGACAGGUGGGUAGGCAGCAAGAUAAGUCCGGACAAGAACAACAGCAACCUCGGAAGCAUGAACAGCUCGGGCAGCUCAGUUUCGGGCAACAACAGCUAUUUGAGCAGCAUGAUCCUUCACAGCAUUUGGA
RNAcentral lists this long non-coding RNA (1061 nucleotides) under Brassica napus (rape). RNAcentral's name for it is "long non-coding RNA (BNAP_LNC012771)". The record is from RNAcentral. Lineage: Eukaryota; Viridiplantae; Streptophyta; Magnoliopsida; Brassicales; Brassicaceae.